AAAAAGGUAAGCUAAGAAAGCUUGUGGGUUCAUUCCCCGUUUAUAAAGGUUUAAAUCCUUUUCUUUUUA
This 69-nucleotide transfer RNA is filed under the name Nigronia serricornis. RNAcentral's name for it is "tRNA-Met". It matches the Rfam family "tRNA". From Rfam's summary of the family: Transfer RNA (tRNA) molecules are approximately 80 nucleotides in length. Their secondary structure includes four short double-helical elements and three loops (D, anti-codon, and T loops). The record is from RNAcentral. Lineage: Eukaryota; Metazoa; Arthropoda; Insecta; Megaloptera; Corydalidae.